GAAGAAGAAGAAGAAGAAGAAGAAGAAGAAGAAGAAGAAGAAGAAGAAGAAGAAGAAGAAGAAGAAGAAGAAGAAGAACCAUGUGCUCACCUAGUUGGUCUGUUUGUCCGCGUUAUUACAUUUGAAGACGAUUAUACAUCAUCAUUAUCAUGGAAGGGAACGACCGAAGACACCAUACCAUUCUUACUGAGGGAGAAGGACCUGUGCCCCUACAGUCUGCCGAUUCACCUUUUUAUCAGUGCCCAUUCUGCUCUUAUAAGACUGCAGAAAGGCAUUUGGUGAUUAACCACAUACAAAAUCAUGCAACGGUGAAACAUAAAGGUAAAAGCCAAUGUUAGGGCAUAACUUGAACAACAAACAAAAUGCAUGUGAACAGACAACAUACAUAUGUAUAUAUAGGUACUUUAUUUAUCCCAAAGGAAAGUGAUGCACAAGCAAGGUAGAAAGAUACAUAUU
Gymnodraco acuticeps is the source of this 456-nucleotide long non-coding RNA. RefSeq lists it as uncharacterized. The record is from RefSeq and is a predicted model, not a curated record. The transcript has 2 exons. Lineage: Eukaryota; Metazoa; Chordata; Actinopteri; Perciformes; Bathydraconidae.